RNAcentral lists this non-coding RNA (27 nucleotides) under Mus musculus (house mouse). Lineage: Eukaryota; Metazoa; Chordata; Mammalia; Rodentia; Muridae. The record is from RNAcentral.
UGCAUGCCUUUAAUCCUAGUACCCAGG